Molecule: long non-coding RNA, 1305 nt
Filed under: Triticum aestivum (bread wheat)
Lineage: Eukaryota; Viridiplantae; Streptophyta; Magnoliopsida; Poales; Poaceae
Description: long non-coding RNA (TAES_LNC000895)
Source: RNAcentral
AUUUAUUAAGGUUUAUUUAUUUUAGUUACUAUAGUUUAUUUUAUUAUAUUUUAUUAAGGUUUAUUUAUUUUAUUAAGGUUAAUUUAUUUUAUUUACUAUAAAAAAAUGAACAUAGAUGCGCCUAUAGAGAAAAUUCAACCAAAAUUCAUAAUAAAUUUCUAUGAAAUUCAAAGAAAUUUACUGUGAAUUUAGGUCAAAUUCCCUGUAUAAGGGCAUCUAUUUUCACUUUGAGAGGAGCUGUACAAGGCAGAGAGGGACGGGCUUAUAAACUGGUGUGAGCGCCCUUCGAUUGGCGAGGUGGGACUGAACACUGGCCGCAACUAGGACCAGCACUUUAGUCCCGGUUUGUGGUAUGAACCGGGACUAAAGGGUGGUGGGCCAGGAGCGUGGCCCAUUGGUCCCGGUUUGUCCCACCAACCAGGACCAAAGGGGCCGGACGAACCGGGACCAAUGCCCCCACGAGGCCCGGCAGGCCCCUGGCCGCACGAACCGGGACCAAUGCUCGCAUUAGUUCCUGUUCGUGACUGAACCGGGACUAAUGUGAAUAUUGCCCUGUGACCAAAGCCCAGUUUUCUACUAGUGUUGGUCCAAACAUUAUAGUGGGGCAUGAAACCGGACUUAAACAGGUGGACGUGAAUGGUUCUUGACGUAGAGUAAUUGUGAUCAUUCUUAUAGACUAAACAUGGACAAGGCAUAAAACCAUCCGCCCGCUUGUUUGCCUCAGCCGCAAGCAGAAAAGUUUGCACGCCAUUAAUGAACUCGGGAGAGCAUCGGUCAUCGUACAUCCAUUGUCGGCUCAUCUUCAUUACACAACACCGAAUAGACCAAAUUAAUACAAGUUCAUACAUAAAGUUCAUACAUAAACUUCAUACAUAAAGUUCAUACAAGACUUAAAUGCAACAAACAAAUAACUCUCUAACUAAAGAAUUUAAAUGCAACAACAAAUGCGAUCAAGAUCGCAACUAAGGUAACAAUUCAUCCAACAGCAUAAUGAUACCAAGCCUCACUAUCAAUGGCAUAUUUUCUAAUCUUUCUAAUCUUCACGCGCAUUUUCUCCAUCUUGAUCUUGUGAUCAUCGACGACAUCGGCAACAUGCAACUCCAAUUCCAUCUUCUCCCCGUCAAUUCUUUUCAAUUUUUCUUUCAAAUACUCGUUUUCCCUUUCAACUAAAUUUAACCUCUCGACAACCAAAAUUCAUAAUAAAUUUCUAUGAAAUUCAAAGAAAUUUACUGUGAAUUUAGGUCAAAUUCCCUGUAUAAGGGCAUCUAUUUUCACUUUGAGAGGAGCUCAACAAGGCAGAGAGGG